CAAGUCGAACGGCAGCGGGUCCUUCGGGAUGCCGGCGAGUGGCGGACGGGUGAGUAAUGCAUCGGGACCUGCCCAGACGUGGGGGAUAACGUAGGGAAACUUACGCUAAUACCGCAUACGUCCUACGGGAGAAAGCAGGGGACCUUCGGGCCUUGCGCGGUUGGAUGGACCGAUGUGCGAUUAGCUAGUUGGUGAGGUAAUGGCUCACCAAGGCGACGAUCGCUAGCUGGUCUGAGAGGAUGAUCAGCCACACUGGGACUGAGACACGGCCCAGACUCCUACGGGAGGCAGCAGUGGGGAAUAUUGGACAAUGGGCGCAAGCCUGAUCCAGCAAUGCCGCGUGUGUGAAGAAGGCCUUCGGGUUGUAAAGCACUUUUAUCAGGAACGAAACACUGUCGGCUAAUACCCGGCGGGACUGACGGUACCUGAGGAAUAAGCACCGGCUAACUUCGUGCCAGCAGCCGCGGUAAUACGAAGGGUGCAAGCGUUAAUCGGAAUUACUGGGCGUAAAGCGUGCGUAGGCGGUUGCUUAAGUCUGCUGUGAAAUCCCCGGGCUCAACCUGGGAAUGGCAGUGGAUACUGGACAGCUAGAGUGUGUCAGAGGAUGGUGGAAUUCCCGGUGUAGCGGUGAAAUGCGUAGAGAUCGGGAGGAACAUCAGUGGCGAAGGCGGCCAUCUGGGACAACACUGACGCUGAGGCACGAAAGCGCGGGGAGCAAACAGGAUUAGAUACCCUGGUAGUCCACGCCCUAAACGAUGCGAACUGGAUGUUGGUCUCAACUCGGAGAUCAGUGUCGAAGCUAACGCGUUAAGUUCGCCGCCUGGGGAGUACGGUCGCAAGACUGAAACUCAAAGGAAUUGACGGGGGCCCGCACAAGCGGUGGA
This 884-nucleotide ribosomal RNA is filed under the name uncultured Lysobacteraceae bacterium. RNAcentral describes it as "bacterial SSU rRNA". It matches the Rfam family "Bacterial small subunit ribosomal RNA", at positions 58 to 936 of the family's 1533-position model. Lineage: Bacteria; Pseudomonadati; Pseudomonadota; Gammaproteobacteria; Lysobacterales; Lysobacteraceae. The record is from RNAcentral.